UUUCCCUCCUCCGCUGCCAUCUGAUACCUGAGGACAUGUGGGACGGACAGUGAAUGAGACGACAGACGCAAAAUAACCACAGACAAAGAAUCAGGAGCAUCUGCAGCACUGGCUCCUCUGGUGGUCACACAGAGGAACUACAGAGGAAACAUCCAAACCCCCACCUGCUCAGUUCAGAAAGAAGUAACUUGAUAUGUGAAGAAAAGAGGAAACUGAAAAACAGCCGAGUGGAGAGGAAGCGUCGUGACCUGGUUUCUCACCAGGAGAGCAGAAGAGGGGGUGCGGCGCCACAUGAGGGAAACAGACAGAGGCUGAUCUGCUGAGUGGCUGCUGCUGAAUUAUUAAAGUGACGAGCGACUUACUUGGAGAAGCG
Molecule: long non-coding RNA, 373 nt
Organism: Hippoglossus stenolepis (Pacific halibut)
Lineage: Eukaryota; Metazoa; Chordata; Actinopteri; Pleuronectiformes; Pleuronectidae
Exons: 3
Source: RefSeq, a predicted model, not a curated record